CUACGGGAUGCUGCAGUGAGGAAUAUUGCACAAUGGGGGGAACCCUGAUGCGGCAACGCCGCGUGGAGGAUGACGCAUUUCGGUGUGUAAACUCCUUUUAUAUGUCAAGAAAAUGACGGUAGCAUAUGAAUAAGCACCGGCUAACUCCGUGCCAGCAGCCGCGGUAAUACGGAGGGUGCAAGCGUUACUCGGAAUCACUGGGCGUAAAGGACGCGUAGGCGGGUUGGAAAGUCAGGUGUGAAAUCCUACAGCGUAACUGUAGAACUGCACUUGAAACUUCUAAUCUAGAGUAUGGGAGGGGGAGAUGGAACUAGUGGUGUAGGGGUAAAAUCCGUAGAUAUCACUAGGAAUACCUAAAGCGAAGGCGAUCUCCUGGAACAUUACUGACGCUAAGGCGUGAAAGCGUGGGGAGCAAACAGGAUUAGAUACCCGAGUAGUC
This 439-nucleotide ribosomal RNA is filed under the name uncultured bacterium. RNAcentral describes it as "partial 16S ribosomal RNA". It matches the Rfam family "Bacterial small subunit ribosomal RNA", at positions 339 to 795 of the family's 1533-position model. The record is from RNAcentral.